GCCUACGGGGGGCAGCAGUGGGGGAUAUUGCACAAUGGGGGGAACCCUGAUGCAGCGACGCCGCGUGAGCGAAGAAGUACCUCGGUAUGUAAAGCUCUAUCCGCAGGGAAGAAAAUGACGGUACCUGACUAAGAAGCCCCGGCUAAAUACGUGCCAGCAGCCGCGGUAAUACGUAUGGGGCAAGCGUUAUCCGGAUUUACUGGGUGUAAAGGGAGCGUAGGUGGCAGGGCAAGUCAGAUGUGAAAACCCGGGGCUCAACCCCGGGAGUGCAUUUGAAACUGUCCAGCUGGAGUGCAGGAGAGGUA
RNAcentral lists this ribosomal RNA (305 nucleotides) under uncultured bacterium. RNAcentral describes it as "bacterial SSU rRNA". It matches the Rfam family "Bacterial small subunit ribosomal RNA", at positions 337 to 659 of the family's 1533-position model. The record is from RNAcentral.